UGGGGAAUAUUGCACAAUGGGGGAAACCCUGAUGCAGCGACGCCGCGUGAACGAAGAAGGUAUUCGUAUCGUAAAGUUCUGUCCUAUGGGAAGAUAAUGACAGUAUUAUAUAAGAAAGCUCCGGCUAAAUACGUGCCAGCAGCCGCGGUAAUACGUAUGGAGCAAGCGUUGUCCGGAAUUAUUGGGCGUAAAGGGUACGCAGGCGGUUUAAUAAGUCGAAUGUUAAAGAUUGGUGCUCAACGCCGUAAAGCAUUGGAAACUGAUAAAAUUGAGUAGUGGAGAGGAAAGUGGAAUUCCUAGUGUAGUGGUGAAAUACGUAGAUAUUAGGGGGAAUACCAGUAGCGAAGGCGACUUUCUGGACACAAACUGACGCUGAGGUACGCAAGCGUGGGGAGCAAACAGG
This 403-nucleotide ribosomal RNA is filed under the name Actinomycetes bacterium. Its description in RNAcentral is "Actinobacteria bacterium partial 16S ribosomal RNA". It matches the Rfam family "Bacterial small subunit ribosomal RNA", at positions 355 to 776 of the family's 1533-position model. Lineage: Bacteria; Bacillati; Actinomycetota; Actinomycetes. The record is from RNAcentral.